RNAcentral lists this unclassified non-coding RNA (336 nucleotides) under soil metagenome. RNAcentral describes it as "partial contains 5.8S ribosomal RNA, internal transcribed spacer 2, and large subunit ribosomal RNA". The stretch from base 1 to 120 matches the Rfam family "5.8S ribosomal RNA", at positions 35 to 154 of the family's 154-position model. The record is from RNAcentral.
GAUGUAGAACGUAGCGAAAUGCGAUAAGUAAUGUGAAUUGCAGAAUUCAGUGAAUCAUCGAAUCUUUGAACGCACAUUGCGCCCGCCAGUAUUCUGGCGGGCAUGCCUGUUCGAGCGUCAUUUCAACCAUCAAGCCCCCGGCUUGUGUUGGGGACCUGCGGCUGCCGCAGGCCCUGAAAAGCAGUGGCGGGCUCGCUGUCACACCGAGCGUAGUAGCAUACAUCUCGCUCUGGGCGUGCUGCGGGUUCCGGCCGUUAAACCACCUUCAUAACCCAAGGUUGACCUCGGAUCAGGUAGGAAGACCCGCUGAACUUAAGCAUAUCAAUAAGCGGAGGA